GGGCUCGUAGCUCAGCGGAAGAGCGUCGCCUUCGCAAGGCGGAGGCCCCGGGUUCAAAUCCCGGCGAGUCCA
This 72-nucleotide transfer RNA is filed under the name Archaeoglobales archaeon. RNAcentral's name for it is "tRNA-Ala". It matches the Rfam family "tRNA". From Rfam's summary of the family: Transfer RNA (tRNA) molecules are approximately 80 nucleotides in length. Their secondary structure includes four short double-helical elements and three loops (D, anti-codon, and T loops). Further hydrogen bonds mediate the characteristic L-shaped molecular structure. tRNAs have two regions of fundamental functional importance: the anti-codon, which is responsible for specific mRNA codon recognition, and the 3' end, to which the tRNAs corresponding amino acid is attached (by aminoacyl-tRNA synthetases). tRNAs cope with the degeneracy of the genetic code in two manners: having more than one tRNA (with a specific anti-codon) for a particular amino acid; and 'wobble' base-pairing, i.e. permitting non-standard base-pairing at the 3rd anti-codon position. RNAcentral also lists the same sequence under 1 other name. Lineage: Archaea; Methanobacteriati; Methanobacteriota; Archaeoglobi; Archaeoglobales. The record is from RNAcentral.